This 2355-nucleotide long non-coding RNA is filed under the name Ailuropoda melanoleuca (giant panda). RNAcentral's name for it is "lncRNA (ENSAMEG00000024077.1)". Lineage: Eukaryota; Metazoa; Chordata; Mammalia; Carnivora; Ursidae. The record is from RNAcentral.
AUGCUUGCGAGACCCCCUCAGGCCAGAGUCUCCCCUCCAGAGGCUGAGUCAGGAGGACAACUAGGUGCUCAGGGCUGCAGGAACCUUGCCCUCUGCUUGUGUGUUCACAGCAAUGCCCACAGCACGCUGGGUGACGCUGCAGACUCUUCCAGAUCUGCCACAAUGUCACCUUUCUUGUGGAUUCGCACAUGCAUGGCCCAAGGAACCACUCCACGUUUUCUGAGAGGCUUAGAGAGGCUGUAGCAGGUGCCUCUCCUCUUUCCCUUUGUGUUGGUCAUUUUGGCGAAUUACUGGAAGAUGCUGGUUCUGGCUGAAAUUUUGUUGCUUAAAUAAGCAAUUGCUAAAUCAUAGAAAAAAUAAAAUAAAUUUUUUAAUUCUAUUACGUAAACCCUAGACUCUGAUAGCACCAUGGAAGGGUGGGAAGGAGUUAUUUCAAAAAAUAUAAAUGAGUGUUGUUAGUCAUCUUAGUAGUUAGUCAUGGGCCCCAGGAAACAGAAACAGAGUGUGUGACUUUCAGAACAGCCUGUCCCCAGGCCACGGCCGCCACAGAGAAGAUGGCCAUGCCCCUCUGUGCGCUGGACUGGGCAAAGCCGCCAAGAGGUCCUCACUGAGGGCUGUAAGUAAAAGGGCUAUCCAUAAAAUUUGAUUUGGAAACAAAAUCUUAGAAUGGACUGAAAUCUACCAGCCCAGGCUCAGCCAACACUGAGACCACUGCAGAGAAGGGCAGUUUGGAAGCAGGUGCGGGUGGAUCAAGGGAGCCCUGACGUUUGGGGAGAAGUGGACACCACAGCACUCUGGGCACGGAGACUGUCGGGGAAGAUGUCCUUGCGUGUGCACCGACGAUGGCUUUUGAUUCAUGCUUCUCGGCUCGCACUGGGGCAGUGGGGAUAGCUAAACUCAAGACAGGGUACCAGCAGGAUCAUGUCACCCUGGUCUGUGAUGAGAAUCUUGACAUCGCUGGGCUCCGGGGUGCUCAGUGCUGAGUUAGCAGGGCUGCUUGGCUGGCUAACAAGUGAAUUUUGAAACCGCAAAGUCCCGAGGAACCCAGAGAAACUCUGCUUGGCUUCAAGACUUCUCAAGUCCAGCUUCACACGGAAGUGAAAGUGGAGCAGAGUUUGGUGGCUUCAUUUACCAGAAGGUGAACAAAAAGUUGGGGAUCCAGGUUAAAGAUGCUUCAUCUCAGUGGUGUUACCCUUUCAGAGGUACAAUUCCAAUAAAUUCCAAUUCAAAAAAAAAAAAAAAGAAAGAAAGAAAGUCCUUUCAGCUAGCUCUGGAGAUCUGGAGUAAGGACCAGGAUGUGAAAAGCUUUGCAGGCCGUUCUGCCCUGUGGCCAUAUGGGGAGCGGGUGGAAAGCCCAUGUGAAAAUGUGGGUAAGACACUGAGCUGAGAUUGAGGUGGCCUUGUAAGGCUGGCAACAAAAAUCAAAAUCUAGUGUCUGUGGAGAUCUGGGAACCACCCCCAAUUUUGCGUUGGGACCUCAAAGGGCUCCACUGCCCAUGUAAUGGUGAAUUGGAAAUAAGCUAGCCUUCCUAAAAAGGGUGCCUAGCUUCAGCUCAUAUGGUGGCUGGAAGGCCACCAUGCUUGGAUGUGGGUUAAGAUGACCUUUUACUGGGGCUCCUGGGUGGCUCAGUGGGUUAAGCAUCUGUCUUCGGCUCGGGUCGUGAUCCUGGGUCCUGGGAUCGAGCCCCUGAGUCGGGCUCCCUGCUCAGCGGGGAGUCUGCUUCUCCCUUUCCCUCUGCCCCUGCCCCCCUAUCCCCUACUCAUGCUUUCUCUUGCUCUCUCUCUCAAAUAAAUACAUAAAAUCUUCAAAAAAAAAAAAAAGAUGAUCUUGUACGGUACUGCUUCCAGAACACCGACUUUUUCAAAAUGAAUUUUAGCAAUUAAAUAUGCUUGGGAAAAAUUAAAUCAACUCGGGCUUCAAAUUAAUUCUAUAAAUUAAUUUCAAAAUGCAAUGAGCACACAAAGACAGGCCCACAAGGAGACAAGACACCACGAGUCACCAUCAGAAGUCAUGAGAGACAGGUCGCCCCCGUGGCUGGCUGAUCAGGAUGAAAGACGGAGAAGGAACCGAUAGCCAGUAUUUGCAAUGAAGAACACGCCAUGGUUAUAUGUUCUGAACUUACCAAAAAUUAAAACAAGAAGAUACCAUGUCAUUUUAGUAGAAAUGAUGAAUAGUUCCCAGAAAAAUUAAUACUUUUUUCCAGGAAGAAAUAUUGAGGAAAAAAAAAAACUGGAAAGGACACCGGGAGAGAAAGAACACCUGACCAGUGCUGUCCCGAUGAAAUAAAUUGAACCAGAUUUCAAGCUUUCAACAAAGAAAACUCCAGGCCCACGGAGCAUUGCUAGCAAUUCUAC